This 210-nucleotide long non-coding RNA is filed under the name Ananas comosus (pineapple). RNAcentral's name for it is "long non-coding RNA (ACOM_LNC007692)". Lineage: Eukaryota; Viridiplantae; Streptophyta; Magnoliopsida; Poales; Bromeliaceae. The record is from RNAcentral.
AUUAAAUAAUGUUUAUGAAAGAUAUAGACCGUCUUUAGCGCUCGUGGUAAAAAACUGAACGAUUGGUGUCAAAGAUCUUAAAUUCAAAUUCUAGUUAUUUUAUAUUUUCAGUUCAUUUCUAAAUAAAAAAAAUAAAGCGGAUAAUAUAUUACCUUUCUCUUUUUUUUUUAAAAAAAAAAGUUUAUGAUUUUAUUAGCUGUAUUUUUUUGA